AAAGGAAUAGACGGGGACCCGCACAAGCAGCGGAGCAUGUGGUUUAAUUCGAAGCAACGCGAAGAACCUUACCAGGGCUUGACAUGCCACUGACCGGUCUAGAGAUAGAUCUUUACCUUCGGGUACAGUGGACACAGGUGGUGCAUGGUUGUCGUCAGCUCGUGUCGUGAGAUGUUGGGUUAAGUCCCGCAACGAGCGCAACCCUUGCCUUUAGUUGCCAUCAUUAAGUUGGGCACUCUAGAGGGACUGCCGAUGACAAAUCGGAGGAAGGUGGGGAUGACGUCAAAUCAUCAUGCCCUUUAUGUCCUGGGCUACACACGUGCUACAAUGGUCGGUACAACGAGGAGCUACACAGCGAUGUGAUGCAAAUCUCUAAAAGCCGAUCCCAGUUCGGAUUGUAGGCUGCAACUCGCCUACAUGAAGUCGGAGUUGCUAGUAAUCGCGAAUCAGAACGUCGCGGUGAAUGCGUUCCCGGGUCUUGCACACACCGCCCGU
Molecule: ribosomal RNA, 495 nt
Filed under: uncultured bacterium
Lineage: Bacteria
Description: bacterial SSU rRNA
Rfam family: Bacterial small subunit ribosomal RNA
Source: RNAcentral